Molecule: ribosomal RNA, 496 nt
Filed under: uncultured bacterium
Lineage: Bacteria
Description: partial 16S ribosomal RNA
Rfam family: Bacterial small subunit ribosomal RNA
Source: RNAcentral
GAUGAACGCUGGCGGCGUGCCUAAUACAUGCAAGUCGAGCGAACAGACGAGGAGCUUGCUCCUCUGACGUUAGCGGCGGACGGGUGAGUAACACGUGGAUAACCUACCUAUAAGACUGGGAUAACUUCGGGAAACCGGAGCUAAUACCGGAUAAUAUAUUGAACCGCAUGGUUCAAUAGUGAAAGACGGUUUUGCUGUCACUUAUAGAUGGAUCCGCGCCGCAUUAGCUAGUUGGUAAGGUAACGGCUUACCAAGGCAACGAUGCGUAGCCGACCUGAGAGAGUGAUCGGCCACACUGGAACUGAGACACGGUCCAGACUCCUACGGGAGGCAGCAGUAGGGAAUCUUCCGCAAGGGGCGAAAGCCUGACGGAGCAACGCCGCGUGAGUGAUGAAGGGCUUCGGAUCGUAAAACUCUGUUAUUAGGGAAGAACAAAUGUGUAAGUAACUAUGCACGUCUUGACGGUACCUAAGCAGAAAGCCACGGCUAACUACGU